GCUGUGAUGGCCGAUUGGUUAAGGUGUUGGAGUUGAAAUCCAAUAAGGCCCACCUACGCAGGUUCAAAUCCUGCUCACAGCA
Molecule: non-coding RNA, 82 nt
Organism: Mauremys mutica (yellowpond turtle)
Lineage: Eukaryota; Metazoa; Chordata; Testudines; Geoemydidae
Source: the annotation of a RefSeq genome assembly